This is a small nuclear RNA of Echinops telfairi (small Madagascar hedgehog), 107 nucleotides long. The record is from Ensembl. NCBI's taxonomy places the organism in Eukaryota, Metazoa, Chordata, Mammalia, Afrosoricida, Tenrecidae.
GUGCACACUUUGGCAGCACAUACACUAAAAUUGGAACAAUACAGAGAAGAUUAGUAUGGCUCCUAUGCAAUGGUGACAUAUAAAUUCAUGAAGAAUUCCACAUUUAA